Molecule: ribosomal RNA, 31 nt
Filed under: Mitchella repens
Lineage: Eukaryota; Viridiplantae; Streptophyta; Magnoliopsida; Gentianales; Rubiaceae
Also listed under: 5 other names
Description: partial 18S ribosomal RNA
Source: RNAcentral
UUUCGUAGGUGAACCUGCGGAAGGAUCAUUG